GAUGAACGCUGGCGGCGUGCUUAAUACAUGCAAGUCGAGCGAAAGGACGAGUAGCUUGGUUCUCUGGUGUUAGAGGCGGACGGGAGAGUAACACGUGGAUCAACUAGCUAUAAGAAAGGGAUAAAAACGGGAACUAAGAGCUAAUACCGGAUAAUAUUUUGAACCGCGUGGUUCAAAAGUGAAUGUCGGUUUUGCUGUCACUUAUAGCUGGUUCCGGGUUGCAUUAGCUAGUUGGUAAGGUAACGGCCUACCAAGGCAACGAUGCAUAGCCGACCUGAGAGGAUGAUCAGCCACACUGGAACUGAGACACGGCCCAGACUCCUACGGGAGGCAGCAGUAGGGAAUCUUCCACAAUGGGCGAAAGCCUGACGCAGCAACGCCGCGUGAGUGAUGAAGGCCUUCGGGUCGUAAAACUCUUUUGGCAGGAAAGAACAUAUGUCCGUGUAUCCGUGCACAUCAUGACGGUACCUAAACAGUAAGCCACGGCUAACUACGUG
This 497-nucleotide ribosomal RNA is filed under the name uncultured bacterium. RNAcentral describes it as "partial 16S ribosomal RNA". It matches the Rfam family "Bacterial small subunit ribosomal RNA", at positions 28 to 507 of the family's 1533-position model. The record is from RNAcentral.